GACAGAGGAGCCAAGCGUUGUCCGGAUUGACUGGGCGUAAAGCGCACGCAGGCGGUCGUGCACGUGGGGUGUGAAAACUGGCGGCUUAACUGCCAGAGGCCACCUCAUACGGCGCGACUCGAGCCCUGCAGAGGUCCAUGGAAUUGCCGGUGUGGUGGUGAAAUGCGUAGAGAUCGGCAGGAACACCCAGGGGGAAACCAGUGGACUGGGCAGGAGCUGACGCUCAGGUGCGAAAGCGUGGGGAGCGAACCGG
This 253-nucleotide ribosomal RNA is filed under the name uncultured bacterium. Its description in RNAcentral is "partial 16S ribosomal RNA". It matches the Rfam family "Bacterial small subunit ribosomal RNA", at positions 524 to 776 of the family's 1533-position model. The record is from RNAcentral.